RNAcentral lists this ribosomal RNA (425 nucleotides) under uncultured bacterium. RNAcentral describes it as "partial 16S ribosomal RNA". It matches the Rfam family "Bacterial small subunit ribosomal RNA", at positions 354 to 796 of the family's 1533-position model. The record is from RNAcentral.
GUGGGGAAUCUUGCGCAAUGGGCGAAAGCCUGACGCAGCCAUGCCGCGUGAAUGAUGAAGGUCUUAGGAUUGUAAAAUUCUUUCACCGGGGACGAUAAUGACGGUACCCGGAGAAGAAGCCCCGGCUAACUUCGUGCCAGCAGCCGCGGUAAUACGAAGGGGGCUAGCGUUGCUCGGAAUUACUGGGCGUAAAGGGCGCGUAGGCGGACAGUUUAGUCAGAGGUGAAAGCCCAGGGCUCAACCUUGGAAUUGCCUUUGAUACUGGCUAUCUUGAGUAUGGAAGAGGUAUGUGGAACUCCGAGUGUAGAGGUGAAAUUCGUAGAUAUUCGGAAGAACACCAGUGGCGAAGGCGACAUACUGGUCCAUUACUGACGCUGAGGCUCGAAAGCGUGGGGAGCAAACAGGAUUAGAAACCCCUGUAGUCC